This 25-nucleotide unclassified non-coding RNA is filed under the name Mus musculus (house mouse). RNAcentral's name for it is "oocyte_clustered_small_RNA12560". The record is from RNAcentral. Lineage: Eukaryota; Metazoa; Chordata; Mammalia; Rodentia; Muridae.
CAGCCUCGAUGGACAGAAUAAGAAG